GCACCCUGUGCUGCUUCCUUGUUCAUGCCCAUUUUUGACUUGUGAAAUACCAGAAAUGUCUCAGAGUAUGCUUUGUGCAACCUCACAUGUGCCACCUUGACUACAGAGUAUUAUUUACUAAUGUGUGAACUGCUGGGAAUUCAAAGUUAAUUUCAAAUUUGCAACAUCACUUGGUCCUGUGCAUUCUGAGACUAGGGGAGAGAAGAGGGAAGGGGAGAGGGGAAAGGAAAAGAGGUACAACUCACCGUCCUAUACAGUAACUCAGGAAUGGAACUCCUUGUAAAGCAGCGUAUAAAAUCCAGGCCCUGAUAAAAAAAAAAAAAAUCUUGGUUUCUCCCUUCUCGGCAAAGUGAAUAGAUCUAACACUGCUUGGUAUAUAAGUUAUUUAAUGCCUAAAAUGACCAAAUAUUAUGUAUUUACCAUAAAGAAACAAUCUAAGCAACAAAACCACUAUGGGAUGUUGUAGUGAUUACACUACUUAAAGUUCCCUAAAGCUGAUAUAAAGCUACGGUCUUUCUGUAGCGGAGGGAUCUUCCCCAAUUUGGCCACAGUAAGGGAACAUUAUAGGGUCAGGAGUACAACAUGUAUUCCUGACCCUAAAAUGUAAAUAUACUAUUUACCCCCUUAGAUAGGUCUAAAACUAACCUUUAUUCCAGCGCCAGAAUGCCUCCUUGGCUGAGAUCAUCAGAAUUGAUUAUCUCAGUCAAUGCUUUCCCAUAGGAAGGCAUUGGGAGGCUACAGCGAAUGAGUGGCAAAACGCUCCGCUGCGUCUGCUGGGACUAAGGACACCAGAAUAUACAUUUAGCUGUCCCUAAUUAGGUGUAAUUACCAUUUAUGCAUUAUCAUUGUCGAUUUCAAUCAACCUAAAUGACACUAAUUGAAAGCCCUGAUUUAUAACAAAUCCUUACUUUAUAUCAAAUCCCUGGUUUACAUCUAAACAUUCAUAAAUAGUUUGAUACUAAAACAGAGCACGAACACUCACCAGGAAAGUGUCUGUUCUGUCUAUUCAACUGAGCAGACUGCAGAGCAGGUGGCAGAGAAACUGCUGGAUCAGUCUAUGCUGAUUGCACAGCUCCCUUGCUGCGUUGUACUAAUGCUGGGACCCAGAAUGUACCAUCACUCCGGCGCUGCCGUCAGUAGAGAGCAGCAGGAAACUACGUAUUCAUAGAUCCCAACAUGAAAUGUGUGUGUGAGUUGAUAAUUGUGUGCACGGAUAUCAACAUGUGUAUAUGAGUAUGUGUGUGUGUCAAAUGGAAUUUGAAUAUGUACAGUGCAGUCUUAAAGUAUUGAGACAUGCAAUUUUUUUUUUCUUUCUUUUUUUAUUUUUUUUAUUUUUU
Pelobates cultripes (western spadefoot toad) is the source of this 1337-nucleotide non-coding RNA. The record is from the annotation of a GenBank genome assembly. NCBI's taxonomy places the organism in Eukaryota, Metazoa, Chordata, Amphibia, Anura, Pelobatidae.